Molecule: transfer RNA, 75 nt
Filed under: Candidatus Kaiserbacteria bacterium RIFCSPHIGHO2_12_FULL_53_13
Lineage: Bacteria; Candidatus Kaiseribacteriota
Also listed under: 1 other name
Description: tRNA-Arg
Rfam family: tRNA
About the family: Transfer RNA (tRNA) molecules are approximately 80 nucleotides in length. Their secondary structure includes four short double-helical elements and three loops (D, anti-codon, and T loops). Further hydrogen bonds mediate the characteristic L-shaped molecular structure. tRNAs have two regions of fundamental functional importance: the anti-codon, which is responsible for specific mRNA codon recognition, and the 3' end, to which the tRNAs corresponding amino acid is attached (by aminoacyl-tRNA synthetases). tRNAs cope with the degeneracy of the genetic code in two manners: having more than one tRNA (with a specific anti-codon) for a particular amino acid; and 'wobble' base-pairing, i.e. permitting non-standard base-pairing at the 3rd anti-codon position.
Source: RNAcentral
CCUCCCGUCGUUCAACGGAUAGGACGCGAGCUUCCGGAGCUCGUAAUGUGGGUUCGAUUCCUGCCGGGAGGACCA